AGUAACUAAUUAAACCCAUAACUGAUUGGGAAGGAGAGAGAGAGAGAGAGAGAGAGUCAACAGAGGGGAUAAAGACUAGACUACAUCUGAUCACGGAAAAGAAGUGAGAGAAAAUGAAGAAAUUAGAGGAAAGACACUACGAUUCUAUUUUUUACUCUGUCGGAUCUUAUCAGAUAGAUUCGAUCUGGAUCCUUUGUAUGUAUUUCUUAUUCAUUUAAGGGUUUUAGAUUCGAUGUUUGUUUGAUGGUCUGUUGUG
RNAcentral lists this long non-coding RNA (256 nucleotides) under Panax ginseng (ginseng). Its description in RNAcentral is "long non-coding RNA (PGIN_LNC005471)". The record is from RNAcentral. Lineage: Eukaryota; Viridiplantae; Streptophyta; Magnoliopsida; Apiales; Araliaceae.